CGGACGGGUGAGUAACACGUGGAUAACCUACCUAUAAGACUGGGAUAACUUCGGGAAACCGGAGCUAAUACCGGAUAAUAUAUUGAACCGCAUGGUUCAAUAGUGAAAGACGGUUUUGCUGUCACUUAUAGAUGGAUCCGCGCCGCAUUAGCUAGUUGGUAAGGUAACGGCUUACCAAGGCAACGAUGCGUAGCCGACCUGAGAGGGUGAUCGGCCACACUGAAACUGAGACACGGUCCAG
This 241-nucleotide ribosomal RNA is filed under the name uncultured Staphylococcus sp. RNAcentral describes it as "partial 16S ribosomal RNA". It matches the Rfam family "Bacterial small subunit ribosomal RNA", at positions 99 to 334 of the family's 1533-position model. Lineage: Bacteria; Bacillati; Bacillota; Bacilli; Caryophanales; Staphylococcaceae. The record is from RNAcentral.